ACUGUACUAAACUAACCAAAGUGGGGGAUAGUGAGAGGGAUAAAUUUUCUUAAGGAACUCGGCCAAAUCCUAAUGCCCAUCAGGGUAAAUAUCAGAACAUGGGCCUCGACUGUUUACCAAAAACAUAGCUCUCAGCCAAUAUGAAAGUAGAAGUAUGGAGGGUGAGGCCUGCCCAAUGGUUGUAUCUAAAAACGGUUGAUAAAAGUCGACUUCAUAAGGACAAUUGAAUGGCCGCGGUAACACUGACCGUGAUAAUGUAGCGUAAUCAAUAGCCAAUUAAUUGUUGGCCAGUAUGAAUGGCGUCACGAAGGCCCCACUGUCUUAAGAGAAUUCCCAGUGAAAUUGAAUUCGUAGUGAAGAUGCUACGUCCAAUUUGUUAGACGAAAAGACCCCAUUGAGCUUUACUGGAGACUUACAUUGCUCGGAUCAACUCUCGCCCCCCCCUUGGCGGGGGGUCGAAUUUAAAUGGAUAGCUUAGAUUAUGUGGUGUCAUAACCGUCGAUCAAGUAAUCCCUACGGGAUUGCCCCCCGAAGGUUGACCUAUUUGGGUGAAUGAAACCCCACUCUUCUUUGUUAAAUGUGCUAACCCUUAAGGGGACAAUGUAAGUUGGACAGUUUGGUUGGGGCGACCGCCUUUUAAAGAGUAACGAAGGUGUGCUUAAGGUACACAAUUAAUAACACAAGCCUGACUGCGAGGGGGACCCUCCGAGCAGACACCUAAAGUCUUCUCCCUUCCCCCCGAAGGUUAAAGACGAAUGGUGGGUUAUAGUGACCCGUUAAUUUAGAGUGGAAUAGUUAACGAUCAACGAAUAAAAGUUWCCAUGGGGAUAACAGCGUAA
RNAcentral lists this ribosomal RNA (839 nucleotides) under Epizoanthus cf. balanorum TDS-2010. RNAcentral's name for it is "partial 16S ribosomal RNA". It matches the Rfam family "Bacterial large subunit ribosomal RNA", at positions 1641 to 2485 of the family's 2925-position model. The record is from RNAcentral. Lineage: Eukaryota; Metazoa; Cnidaria; Anthozoa; Zoantharia; Epizoanthidae.